This 823-nucleotide ribosomal RNA is filed under the name Rozella multimorpha. Its description in RNAcentral is "SSU rRNA". It matches the Rfam family "Eukaryotic small subunit ribosomal RNA", at positions 106 to 938 of the family's 1831-position model. Lineage: Eukaryota; Fungi; Rozellomycota. The record is from RNAcentral.
UCAGUUAUAAUUUAUUUGAUAGUACCUUACUACUUGGAUAACCGUGGUAAUUCUAGAGCUAAUACAUGCUAAAAAACCCGACUUCUGGAAGGGUUGUAUUUAUUAGAUAAAAAGCCAAUGCGGGCAACCGCUUUUUUGGUGAUUCAUAGUAACUUUUCGAAUCGCAUGGCCUUGUGCUGGCGAUGGUUCAUUCAAAUUUCUGCCCUAUCAACUUUUGAUGGUAGGAUAGAGGCCUACCAUGGUUUUAACGGGUAACGGAGAAUUAGGGUUCGAUUCCGGAGAGGGAGCCUGAGAAACGGCUACCACAUCCAAGGAAGGCAGCAGGCGCGCAAAUUACCCAAUUCCGACACGGAGAGGUAGUGACAAUAAAUAACAAUGCAGGACCUUUAUGGUUUUGCAAUUGGAAUGAGAACAAUUUAAAUCCCUUAUCGAGGAACAACUGGAGGGCAAGUCUGGUGCCAGCAGCCGCGGUAAUUCCAGCUCCAGUAGCGUAUAUUAAAGUUGUUGCAGUUAAAAAGCUCGUAGUUGAAUUUCGGGCACGGACGUUUGAUUCACCUUACGGUGACGUCUUAUGAUCUGUGCCUUACCUUCUGGGGAUCCAAUGUGCUCUUUACUGGGUGCGUUGGGGAACCAGGACCUUUACCUUGAGAAAAUUAGAGUGUUUAAGGCAGGCGUAAGCUUGAAUACAUUAGCAUGGAAUAAUGGAAUAGGACUUUGGUUCUAUUUCGUUGGCUUCUAGGACCAGAGUAAUGAUUAAUAGGAACAGUUGGGGGCGUUAGUAUUGGACUGCUAGAGGUGAAAUUCUUGGAUUUGUUCAAGGCUA